UAGAAAGUUGGGCUGUUGAGACC
RNAcentral lists this microRNA (23 nucleotides) under Ornithorhynchus anatinus (platypus). RNAcentral's name for it is "Oan-Mir-1376_3p (mature (guide))". Lineage: Eukaryota; Metazoa; Chordata; Mammalia; Monotremata; Ornithorhynchidae. The record is from RNAcentral.